RNAcentral lists this ribosomal RNA (513 nucleotides) under uncultured Glomus. RNAcentral's name for it is "SSU rRNA". It matches the Rfam family "Eukaryotic small subunit ribosomal RNA", at positions 569 to 1083 of the family's 1831-position model. The record is from RNAcentral. Lineage: Eukaryota; Fungi; Glomeromycota; Glomeromycetes; Glomerales; Glomeraceae.
AGCAGCCGCGGUAAUUCCAGCUCCAAUAGCGUAUAUUAAAGUUGUUGCAGUUAAAAAGCUCGUAGUUGAAUUUCGGGGUCAGUAGAUUGGUCGUGCCACUGGUAUGUACUGGUCUUACUGGCUCCUCCUUCCUGAUGAACCGUAAUGCCAUUAAUUUGGUGUUGCGGGGAAACUGGACUGUUACUUUGAAAAAAUUAGAGUGUUUAAAGCAGGCUAACGCUUGAAUACAUUAGCAUGGAAUAAUGAAAUAGGACGUUCGAUCUUAUUUUGUUGGUUUCUAGGAUUGACGUAAUGAUUAAUAGGGAUAGUUGGGGGCAUUAGUAUUCAAUUGUCAGAGGUGAAAUUCUUGGAUUUAUUGAAGACUAACUACUGCGAAAGCAUUUGCCAAGGAUGUUUUCAUUAAUCAAGAACGAAAGUUAGGGGAUCGAAGACGAUCAGAUACCGUCGUAGUCUUAACCAUAAACUAUGCCGACUAGGGAUCGGAUGAUGUUAAUUUUAUAAUGACUCAUUCGG